RNAcentral lists this long non-coding RNA (231 nucleotides) under Gallus gallus (chicken). The record is from RNAcentral. Lineage: Eukaryota; Metazoa; Chordata; Aves; Galliformes; Phasianidae.
CACGCUCAGCUUCCUCGCCACCUCGUACUCCAUCCCAGCGAAGCGCAGCAGGAACCUCUCCUGGUUGAUGGAUUUCUUCAGGGCUUUGAUGGCCGAUUUGAGCUUUUUCUCCACUUUCUGUCGCAGGCAGUGCAGGUUGCAGCUGGCUGUGGUCUCCUCCGGUUUGAUCUCUGCCUCAAACUCCAGUGUGAUGCGCGUCACCUCCUUGCCGGAGGAGUUGCGAGCCCGGCG